RNAcentral lists this small RNA (178 nucleotides) under Arabidopsis thaliana (thale cress). RNAcentral's name for it is "ATSL152400". The record is from RNAcentral. Lineage: Eukaryota; Viridiplantae; Streptophyta; Magnoliopsida; Brassicales; Brassicaceae.
UGUUAGAUACGAGAAAGAAGAAUGUGGCAAUCACACCCAUGAAAAUAAAAUUGGUAGAGUGAGACUCAGACUCAUAUUGUGGAAAUCCGGGUUUAGUGGUGUUGAACAUUGUGGUGGUGAGUGUUUAAGUUGUUCUUCUUAUAUAAACGCAUUUCAAUCAUCUAUAUAGAAUUUAAAA